UACGGGGGGAGCAAGCGUUGUUCGGAUUUACUGGGCGUAAAGGGCGCGUAGGCGGCGUAACAAGUCACUUGUGAAAUCUCCGGGCUUAACUCGGAAAGGUCAGCCGAUACUGCGGGGCUAGAGUGCAGAAGGGGCAACUGGAAUUCUCGGUGUAGCGGUGAAAUGCGUAGAUAUCGAGAGGAACACCUGCGGCGAAGGCGGGUUGCUGGGCUGACACUGACGCUGAUUGUGCGAAAGCUAGGGGAGCGAACGGG
RNAcentral lists this ribosomal RNA (254 nucleotides) under uncultured bacterium. RNAcentral describes it as "partial 16S ribosomal RNA". It matches the Rfam family "Bacterial small subunit ribosomal RNA", at positions 524 to 776 of the family's 1533-position model. The record is from RNAcentral.